RNAcentral lists this unclassified non-coding RNA (265 nucleotides) under Helictotrichon sumatrense. RNAcentral describes it as "sequence contains 5.8S rRNA gene, ITS2". The record is from RNAcentral. Lineage: Eukaryota; Viridiplantae; Streptophyta; Magnoliopsida; Poales; Poaceae.
CCCGAGGCCAUUCGGCCGAGGGCACGCCUGCCUGGGCGUCACGCUAAACACGCUCCCACCCCCUCAUCGGGAGGCGGGAUGCGGCAUGUGGCCUCCCGUCUCGCAAGGGGCGGUGGGCCGAAGAUAUGGCUGCCGGCGUAUCGUGCCGGACACAGCGCUAGGUAGGCGUUCUCGCUAAACUUAUCGCAGUGCAUCCGGGGCGUAGCCGACACGAUGGCCUCGAAAGACCCUUUGAACGGUGCGCAUGACGCUUCGACCGCGACCC